RNAcentral lists this long non-coding RNA (3562 nucleotides) under Sorghum bicolor (sorghum). RNAcentral's name for it is "long non-coding RNA (SBIC_LNC005119)". The record is from RNAcentral. Lineage: Eukaryota; Viridiplantae; Streptophyta; Magnoliopsida; Poales; Poaceae.
CCAGCCCAAUACACGAGAGGGGGACUAUAUAAGAAUCAAUGAAGCUGUCACUAUCACGAACUACCCCACGAUUUGGCAUAUUGGGUACAAUCGCAGAUAAAUACGGUAUAAGCACCACGCCCACACAAUAUCUAUCAUUUACCCAUGGAUCCGAUGGAUAAACGCUAUACGAUCCUAAGCAUGUAUAUAGAUCCAAUCUAACUAAGCCAAGUACAUAACUAUGAUAAACUAAGAACAAUAUAAUCUUGAAUAUAAACAAGUAGAGCAAAGUCAUAAGCAAUAUAUUGAAGUAGAACAAAGUCAUAUUCAUAAUAUUGAAGAACAAAGAUAAUUAGAAAGCAAUUAGAAGCACAAUUAGAGAAUUACCAAGAAUCCUCUUGACAGAUCCGGAAACCAAUCGAAGAUUGACUCCUUCUAGUUCUAAUCCUAUGUAGCUAUGCUAAUCUAGAUAUCUAAUUGAUGUGGUGGCUCUAAUCUUGAUCAGAGGCUUCUUCUCCCUUGAAGAACAAUGAAUUAGGGUUGAGAGGCUCUCUCCUCCAGGGGCCAGGGGUCUGGUUUUAUAGUCCCUUCAAGUGAAUAUGGGCCGUUGGAUCAAACCAACUUAGAUUGAACGGUUAUCCUUGAUCCUUUAGGUCGGUGGAGAUCUCCCGAGAAACAUAGUCCUGAUUGGACUCAGAGAGCGGGCGGGCGCCCAAGGAAGGAGGGCGGGCGCCCUGCCUCUGGCCCCGUUUGGCCUCCGCUUUCUUCCCGUGGCUUCUGGAGUCUUCUAGAUGUAAGAUAAUUGCGCGGCACGUUAAUAUCUCUAUGUAAUCCCGACGUGUGGGCCUUUCUUCCGUAUUUCCUGAUAACCCCCUACAGAAAUAGACAAACACCAAAACUCGUGGAAUUCUGUUAGAUAAAACCCUAAGUCUAGAUGUUGAUUUCAUUUGGAUCCUUUUCUUUGUUUAUUUGAUAAUUAAAUUUGAUACUUAAGGACCGUCAACAAACUCCCCCAAGCUUACCUCUUGCUCGUCCGUGAGCAAGGAUAGACUCAGUGAUGGAUCAGAAGUUGUUGCAAUACUUUUAAAAAUUGACGGUACACAUGCUUUUAAAUAAGAUCUUAUCUCUGAGUUAGAGUAAACUGUCAAGACUUAAAACUUACUUACUUUACCUUUUACCAUGGGACUUGUAACCGUCACUUCUGUCUUGAGUGGUUAAAAGAUAGAACAGUCUAGUUAAGUGCCAUGUCUCUUAUUCUUGAUCAGCUAUAGCUCUGGAUUUUUUUUUGCAGAUUUUCAAAUAAAACUCAGAGAUUCCUUGUAUGAUUCUCUCAGAUCUCUCUUUUGUGUUAUUUCUGGAUCCUUACCAAGGCAGUGAUGAUAUAUGCCUUCUCUCAAAAAGUGUGGUAUUUGUGGUAUAAAGCAUAGUGACAUUGCCUUCUCUCUCACCCUACUCUAAUAAGGUUUUAAUAUCUAGAGCUCAUAGGUGGGAGAUAAAAUAUACAUACUUAUAAGACAUGUAUUGCAUAGUCAAACCAUGGAUCCAAAGAAACAAAUCAAUAAGUCAAAUCAAGAUGUGCAUGUGUGGCGAAUGAAUGGUAUAUGGUGAUGAUGGUGAUAACAAUGGUGAAAGUCUAAUUCUACUUUUGCUCUUUUGAGGGGAUACAUACCUUCCUUGCUUUCUGAAACUUUUGAAGAGAAUGAGAUGCUCUUAUUUUUCUUUUCUCUCAGGUGGGUAUUUUGUACCCCUAAUUCUACUGUCGGACACUUGUCCAUUUUUACCUCUCGUCUCACUUUUUCUUUUCUUUCGAGGUUCCGGGCACUUGCCCCUUUUUAUUUCCUCGUGUUUUUUUUUCUUUUUUUAGAGCACUCAUCUCUUGAGAUAAUAUAGCAAGUGGUAGUAACAAGAUAACUUGAGCAUUUAUUUCACAGGGAAAAACAGGAAUAUUUUUGGCUAUUCUCUCCCGGAUUAGGAGUAGAAUAUUUUUAGGUGGUUCUGGAAAUGAAAAUGGGUGGAUAUAUAUGGAUGGUACUUCUAGAGUAGAAGUAGCAUAUAUGAGUGAACGUGCAAGUGAAAUCAUGAUUUUAACUACAUGACAAGCUCCUAAGGGUCUACACAGCUUGACCACACUCAAUGGUCAUAAGCAGUAAAUAGUAAAUGUGUGGCUCAAAGUCUAGCAAGCAUGUAUAUAUGGCUGUGGUAGGAAUUUAAACUCUCAUCAUACAGGAACUCAUCAUGCAAUAUUUUUAAGAUUUCUAAAGAUAAAAUUCUCCAGAAUUCUAGCAUCUCUAGGAACAGAUAAACAGCAGCUCAACCUUCCCAUAUCGUAUCCGUUAACAACUUAGACUUCAGUUCAAGUUUUCAUCUCACAAGUUUAGGUCUAGAGCAAGCUUUAAAUUAUAACAGUUAUCCGAUGGAUAAACACUAUCAUUUACCCAUAGAUCCGAUGGAUAAACGCUAUACGAUCCUAAGCAUGUAUAGAGAUCCAAUCUAACUAAGCCAAGUACAUAACUAUGAUAAACUAAGAACAAUAUAAUCUUGAAUAUAAACAAGUAGAGCAAAGUCAUAAGCAAUAUAUUGAAGUAGAACAAAGUCAUAUUCAUAAUAUUGAAGAACAAAGAUAAUUAGAAAGCAAUUAGAAGCACAAUUAGAGAAUUACCAAGAAUCCUCUUGACAGAUCCGGAAACCAAUCGAAGAUUGACUCCUUCUAGUUCUAAUCCUAUGUAGCUAUGCUAAUCUAGAUAUCUAAUUGAUGUGGUGGCUCUAAUCUUGAUCAGAGGCUUCUUCUCCCUUGAAGAACAAUGAAUUAGGGUUGAGAGGCUCUCUCCUCCAGGGGCCAGGGGGUCUGGUUUUAUAGUCCCUUCAAGUGAAUAUGGGCCGUUGGAUCAAACCGACUUAGAUUGAACGGUUAUCCUUGAUCCUUUAGGUCGGUGGAGAUCUCCGGAGAAACAGAGUCCUGAUUGGACUCAGAGAGGGGGCGGGCGCCCAGGGAAGGAGGGCGGGCGCCCUGCCUCUGGCCCUGUUUGGCCUCCGCUUUCUUCCAGUGGCUUCUGGAGUCUUCUAGAUGUAAGAUAAUUGCGCGGCACGUUAAUAUCUCUAUGUAAUCCCGACGUUUGGGCCUUUCUUCCGUAUUUCCUGAUAACCCCCUACAGAAAUAGACAAACACCAAAACUCGUGGAAUUCUGUCAGAUAAAACCCUAAGUCUAGAUGUUGAUUUCAUUUGGAUCCUUUUCUUUGUUUAUUUGAUAAUUUAAUUUGAUACUUAAGGACCGUCAACAUUGACCAUUAGACCAAACGUAGAACUUGAUGAGUGUAACAAACUUUGUAUUUAUGACUUUUCCAUUUGGGACCAUCUAGGGUUCGGUCAAAGUGUGUAUUCAUCAAGAUCUACAUUUUUAUAUGAUAAAUAGAUUUUUUAUUUGAUGAAAAUUGUACCCUACUUGCAUUCUGAGUAAUAAAUGACAAAAAUAAAAAGUUUAACAUCAAUAUGAUAUGAAAAUAGAUUUCCUAUUGACUAGAUAUAUUUUUUCUAAAUUUAUUGGAAUAAUAUAUUUUUGCAUUAACAAAAUACUAAACAUUACUU